RNAcentral lists this ribosomal RNA (342 nucleotides) under uncultured Paraglomus. RNAcentral's name for it is "eukaryotic LSU rRNA". The record is from RNAcentral. Lineage: Eukaryota; Fungi; Glomeromycota; Glomeromycetes; Paraglomerales; Paraglomeraceae.
GUGAAAUUGUUGAAAGGGAAACGCUUGAAGUCAGUCGUGCCGGCGGAGAUUCAGCUCGCUUCGCGGAGUUGGGCGCAUUUCUUCGCAUGGCAGGUCAGCGUCAGUUUCGCGCGUCGUGGAAGGGCUCGGGUAAGGUGACUCUCUUCGGGGAGUGUUAUAGACCUGAGCAGAUGCGCUGCGCGGGACUGAGGAUUGCAGCGGACACCCUUCGGGGCGUGGCGACCGACCCCUGCUUCAUCACCCUUGUCCGAUAGCGUGCUAACGGGCCGGGGAGCGGUGGGUGCACCGGGUUGGCAAGCCGGCGGCUUCGCUAAGGACGCUGACGUAAUGGCUUUAAACGAC